Molecule: long non-coding RNA, 2059 nt
Organism: Rhinopithecus roxellana (golden snub-nosed monkey)
Lineage: Eukaryota; Metazoa; Chordata; Mammalia; Primates; Cercopithecidae
Exons: 4
Source: RefSeq, a predicted model, not a curated record
AGACUCGGCCCGGCCCAGCUCGGCCCUGCAUGGCUCACGCGGGCUGAAAGAGCCUGCGGAGCGUCAAAGAGCCGGCACCGUCCCGAGACUGCCCGAGCCGCGGGGUACUCCGAGCUCCGGCGCUGGGGUCUGGCGCGCGCCUCGCAGUCCCUGAGACUGUCUGUUCACCUGGAUGCACCAGGCCUUCACCCCGCCUUUUCCCUGCGAUCCCACAGAAUCUCAGGAGUUCAGGGAAGGCCAAGGGUUUUAGGAGCAUUUGUCGGUGAGGCUCUUCAGAUGCUUGCACCAAGUCUUCGUUUUUUAGUUAAGUAUAGGGAGCUUUCCAUGUACUCGGCUUCAGAAUUCGGAAACUGAGAAAACAUGCACAAGAUGAUGGGAACUUUCAUAACUGUCUUGAUUCAUUGUAACCACACUAGUGUUUCCAAACCUUACGUGAAAGCGUUACCCUUUGUCCCUUUCGUGGUGGUUGUUUCUGUGUUUUAUUACCGCUUCCUAAAUUCUAAGGAAAAAAAUUCACAUCUUAAUGAUAGGUAGAAAUUACUCAAAUAUCAGAAAGGGUCCAGAUCAAGCACUUUUCCAGUCAUGCUGUAAUACAAGAGUUAUAUAAAGAUAAUUUAUGUCUUUAGUAAAGGAAAAAGUAGGACACUGGCUAAGGCUGCCUCCCUCUAGUACAUUCCAACAUCGGAAACGGCCCUACCACAAAGCAAACUAAGCCUAAUGUAAUUAGACUGCAUCCCCAAAAUGUCACAGUGAAUUGACAAAGGCAAAAUGUGAGACAAGUUAUACAAACAAACAUCAAAAAGAAGUCAGAAGACCUCACUUUCAGCUAAAGACCUUGCUAAUUCUAGAGCUGCCACUGUCUAAAUACAUAGCACCUACCCUGCGCCUAACCCUGUGAUGAGUGCUGAGAAGAGGGUAAUAGAGUGGAGGCUGUAAAAGUCAAACAAGGCUAGGUAAGGAAGGCUUUGGGCAUCCAGUGGAAGAUCUUGGACUUGAGGAAUGAAGGCUGAACCAGGCUUCUAACCUAGAUGAGGAGACAGUGAAAAUAAAGUGGAGCCUAAGCUUCAGAAGGAUGGUCUCGCUGAGCACUGUAUCCAGAGUGCCUCACACACUGCCUGGCAGAAGAAACUUCUCUAUACAUAUAGGAAUUUGACAACAGUUUGUACUGCUUAUGGAUUUAAAGAACUGGCACCUUGAAUGGGAUUCUGAAUAGAAUUCGUACAGAUGGAAUGUAAAUAUCACCCUGAACUGAAUUGGCCCUCAUCCUGUCCAGCCAAUCUGGAAAUGUCUGGUGUAUCUCCUGGGAGCAUUCCCCAAAGAACCUUCUACACACGGCUCUCCAACUCAAAGUCUGUUUUCAAGGAAUCCAGUUCAAGACAGGGAUAGUUGGAAGACACAACCGUUCUGUGGACUUUGAUGUUCUUGAUAUUCAUUCUUGGUAUUGGCAUCAUGAGUUGUGACACUAAAAGGAGUCUCCAAGUGACUUUGUAAUAAGACAGGGACAAAGAGGUGUGAUACAUCCCUCACAGAUGGUCAGAAAUAUCUAAACAGUUUUUGCCAAAGAGACAGGGUCCUGAAUGGGCAGCAGGGUUAAGAGAAAAAUGUGUAGUUAUUAAUGUCAAUGAGACAUCCUUUGCUAGAAGAUGAUGGUGAGGUCUCAAGGAGAUCUAGGUUAUAUUUAUAAGGAAUCACUCCAAUGACCACGUGUGUCUCUUCUAAAAUUAGACUUUAUUGUGCUCUAUUAAAACAGCUUUUUCUUUAGAAGAGGGUUUCUCAAAAUGUGAUUUGGGGACUACCUGCAUCAGGAACACCUGAGAAUUUGUUAAAGUUGCAGAUUCUAGAGCCUCAUCUCGUGCUUACUGAACCAGAAUCUCUGGGUAUCUGCAUGUUUGUUUAACAAGUUUUUCAAAGCUUACAUGUUUAGCCAGCUUUUAAAGUAAAAGUUUUCAACUGCUUUAGUGGGUAAAGGGUUUCUUUUGCAGAUGAUGAAAAUCUUCUGGAAUUAGAUAGAGGUGAUAGCUUCACAACAUUGUGAAUAUAUUAAAAACCACUGAAAUGA